GAUGAAGAACGCAGCGAAAUGCGAUACGUAAUGUGAAUUGCAGAAUUCAGUGAAUCAUCGAAUCUUUGAACGCACAUUGCGCCCGCCAGUAUUCUGGCGGGCAUGCCUGUCUGAGCGUCAUUUCAACCCUCAUGCCCCUAGGGCGUGGUGUUGGGGAUCGGCCAAAGCCCGCGAGGGACGGCCGGCCCCUAAAUCUAGUGGCGGACCCGUCGUGGCCUCCUCUGCGAAGUAGUGAUAUUCCGCAUCGGAGAGCGACGAGCCCCUGCCGUUAAACCCCCAACUUUCCAAGGUUGACCUCAGAUCAGGUAGGAAUACCCGCUGAACUUAAGCAUAUCAAUAAGCGGAGGA
Molecule: unclassified non-coding RNA, 348 nt
Filed under: soil metagenome
Description: partial contains 5.8S ribosomal RNA, internal transcribed spacer 2, and large subunit ribosomal RNA
Rfam family: 5.8S ribosomal RNA (bases 1-120)
Source: RNAcentral